Long non-coding RNA from Cervus elaphus (red deer), 839 nucleotides. RefSeq lists it as uncharacterized. The record is from RefSeq and is a predicted model, not a curated record. The transcript is spliced from 4 exons. Lineage: Eukaryota; Metazoa; Chordata; Mammalia; Artiodactyla; Cervidae.
CACGGUCCAACCCCACCGGGGCCGGAGCCCCAGGGGCGCCCGCGCGGCCGCCCCUCCCCCACGCGCCCCUCCCCCACGCCGCCGUCCGGCCGCCAGGGUCUCCGCGGUCCCUCGCGCGGCCAGGGAGGGGGCCCUGGCUUCGCCUCGGCCGUUUCCUGCCUACCCCCUCCCCGCCGAGGGUAAAAAAAAAAAAAAUCUCCUCCUCCUCCUCCCCCGAAAGCCGCGACCGAGUGGCCCGGUCCGCGCGCGCAGCUCGCGCCCAGCGCUCUUCAGCCCGGGCGGCGGCAGCAGCGGCGGCAGCGGCGGCGGCGGCGGGGGAGGGGUGCGGCGGGGGAGGGGAGGAGGCCUGGCCGGGCGGCCGCCGCCGCCCGCCCGGACCGCCCGGACCGCCGCGGGGCGACGGGCCCGAGACGGCGCCCCGCGCCCCGGAUUCGCCUCGGCUCGGCCGCGCGUAUAUUUCCCUUCCUCCAUGAUCUCCAACACUGAUAAAGUGGAAGAAACUGAGGUACCAAGAAACAGAAAAGUAACUGGGACUGAAAAAAAGAAAGAGAUCUGUGUGGAAGGAUGUCCAUGAUAGAUUUUACAGAGAGAGAAGAAGAGAAAGGAAAUGAAUUUUUAUACUUCUGUACAACUUGAAAAUUUUUCAACAUACAGGGCCAGCUGGUACUGAUAGGCUGCAGGCCAAAGAGGAUCACAAGUGACCAACAGCUCCAGCCAAUUGGGCCGCAGCCCUGGAGCCCUCCAAGCCCACCCCUCUACAGGGCUCACUCCCCAGGGACCCAGCCCCUCGACGCUGAGUGGCUCACCCCACCACCUGGCACCACUCUCUCACCGGUGAG